UGCAGUCGAACGGUAGCAGGAAGUGCUUGCACUUUGCUGACGAGUGGCGGACGGGUGAGUAAUACUUAGGAACAUGCCUUUGUGUGGGGGAUAACCAUUGGAAACGAUGGCUAAUACCGCAUAAUGUCUUUGGACCAAAGAGGGCUUUCGGGCUCUCGCGCAAAGAGUGGCCUAAGUGAGAUUAGCUUGUUGGUGAGGUAAAGGCUCACCAAGGCGACGAUCUCUAGCUGUUCUGAGAGGAAGAUCAGCCACACUGGGACUGAGACACGGCCCAGACUCCUACGGGAGGCAGCAGUGGGGAAUAUUGCACAAUGGGGGCAACCCUGAUGCAGCCAUGCCGCGUGUGUGAAGAAGGCCUUCGGGUUGUAAAGCACUUUCAGUUGUGAGGAAAGGUUGAUGGUUAAUACCCAUCAGCUGUGACGUUAGCAACAGAAGAAGCACCGGCUAACUCCGUGCCAGCAGCCGCGGUAAUACGGAGGGUGCGAGCGUUAAUCGGAAUUACUGGGCGUAAAGCGCACGCAGGCGGUUAUAUAAGCUAGAUGUGAAAGCCCCGGGCUCAACCUGGGAAUAGCAUUUAGAACUGUAUGACUAGAGUCUUGGAGAGGGGAGUGGAAUUCCAGGUGUAGCGG
Molecule: ribosomal RNA, 629 nt
Filed under: uncultured bacterium
Lineage: Bacteria
Description: bacterial SSU rRNA
Rfam family: Bacterial small subunit ribosomal RNA
Source: RNAcentral